UGGGGAAUAUUGGGCAAUGGGGGAAACCCUGACCCAGCAACGCCGCGUGAAGGAUGAAGGCUUUCGGGUUGUAAACUUCUUUGAUCAGGGACGAACAAAUGACGGUACCUGAGGAACAAGCCACGGCUAACUCCGUGCCAGCAGCCGCGGUAAUACGGAGGGUGCAAGCGUUAUCCGGAUUUACUGGGUUUAAAGGGUGCGUAGGCGGAUGAAUAAGUCAGUGGUGAAAUCUCCGAGCUUAACUCGGAAACUGCCGUUGAUACUAUUUGUCUUGAAUAUUGUGGAGGUAAGCGGAAUAUGUCAUGUAGCGGUGAAAUGCUUAGAUAUGACAUAGAACACCAAUUGCGAAGGCAGCUUGCUACACAAUCAUUGACGCUGAGGCACGAAAGCGUGGGGAUCAAACA
This 404-nucleotide ribosomal RNA is filed under the name uncultured bacterium. RNAcentral describes it as "bacterial SSU rRNA". It matches the Rfam family "Bacterial small subunit ribosomal RNA", at positions 355 to 774 of the family's 1533-position model. The record is from RNAcentral.